ACAAAGAAACUCCACCACAUCCUUUUUUAAAUCCCACAUGAACAUUUAAAUCAUAAUUCACAUCCAAAAUAAGUCUGUUAUUGCGGUAUGAAAGAUAAAAUUCCAUUAUUUUCUUGAUUUACCAGAAAAAAGAUAAGCUGCCAAUACAUUUAUUCCUUCUCUGCAGCUUCCAAUAGAAUUUUGCAUGUCUUCAUCAACGAAAUCAGUAUUUUCCAAACCAUACCUCCUUCAAAAUUGGUAAUCUUUCAGGGAAAAAAGAUUUUGCAUUGCCCACGGAUAUGGAUCCACAUUGAUUAAAG
This 299-nucleotide unclassified non-coding RNA is filed under the name Hevea brasiliensis (rubber tree). Lineage: Eukaryota; Viridiplantae; Streptophyta; Magnoliopsida; Malpighiales; Euphorbiaceae. The record is from RNAcentral.